This 942-nucleotide long non-coding RNA is filed under the name Lynx pardinus (Iberian lynx). The record is from RNAcentral. Lineage: Eukaryota; Metazoa; Chordata; Mammalia; Carnivora; Felidae.
GCACUUUAUCCUGUGGCUCCGGGAGAAGACCCUUCCCCUCCAAUCCUGGCCCCAUCCCCACCAGUCUCACCUGUGGCCCCAUUUCUCCCAUCUCUCCUUUCUGACCGGGAUACCCAGGGAGACCCUUGGAGGAAAGAGAUGGGGAAAUGGAAUUAGAGGGAGGUUGCCCUUCUCCACUGAUGUGUCCCCCUCCUCUGUACAGUCUCCUUACUCACCACAGGGCCUGGGCGCCCAGUGAGCCCCACCGGGCCAGGGGGACCUUUCAUAGACAGCUGGAAAGAUGGGGGAAACAGAUCCUCAGGUCUCCCACAAAACCCCAACACCCUCCAAAAGAGCAUCUUCAUGAGACAAAUAUCCACCUGCCCCCGACUAGCCUCCAUUAUCCCCAUCUCUGUCACUCCCUCAAUGUCCUCCCAUUACCCCCCCUUGGUCCCCUGAUUAUCUUCCACUCACCUGAGUCUGUUGCAGGACUGCCUGCGCCUGGGCUUGCUGGAAGGAGACUGGGGGUCCUUUGAGGGAGCUGCUUGCAAACUGGAACUAGGGGGCAGCUAGUCAUGAGGGGGGCCCAAGGAGAGGCCCCUCCUGGGUCAGGACUACACCCCCCAAGGAUGUGCUACCCUAUCCCCCUCUUACCGGCAUCAUGAUCACAGUGCCUGGUAGACCCCGGAUGCCAUCGAUGCCAGGGAUUCCGGGGAGGCCAGCAGGACCCUGAGAGAGGGAGAGACACAGAGGGGGAUGGAGGCAGAGAGAUAGACAGAGAUGAGAGAUAGAGAUAGAGGGGGAGAGGGGAGAGACAGAGACAUAGGGAGAAAGACAGAGAUGAAGGACACUCAGGGAUAGAGACAGAUGGAAGGAGAAAAGCAGGGGAUACACCCCCAGAGACAGGACAUGGGCCAGAGUGACAAUUCACAGAUGGAAAGAGAGAUGAGCAAGUGGGGCCAG